CCUACGGGUGGCAGCAGUGAGGAAUAUUGGUCAAUGGGCGCGAGCCUGAACCAGCCAAGUAGCGUGAAGGAUGACUGCCCUACGGGUUGUAAACUUCUUUUAUAAAGGAAUAAACUGAGGCCCGUGUGCCUUUUUGUAUGUACUUUAUGAAUAAGGAUCGGCUAACUCCGUGCCAGCAGCCGCGGUAAUACGGAGGAUCCGAGCGUUAUCCGGAUUUAUUGGGUUUAAAGGGAGCGUAGAUGGGUUGUUAAGUCAGUUGUGAAAGUUUGCGGCUCAACCGUACAAGUGCAAUUGAUACUGGCAGCCUUGAGUACAGUGGAGGUAGGCGGAAUUCGUGGUGUAGCGGUGAAAUGCUUAGAGAUCACGAAGAACCCCGAUUGCGAAGGCAGCUUACUAAACUGCGACUGACAUUGAUGCUCGAAAGUGUGGGUAUCAAACAGGAUUAGAUACCCCUGUAGUC
Molecule: ribosomal RNA, 460 nt
Filed under: uncultured bacterium
Lineage: Bacteria
Description: partial 16S ribosomal RNA
Rfam family: Bacterial small subunit ribosomal RNA
Source: RNAcentral